Molecule: ribosomal RNA, 450 nt
Filed under: uncultured bacterium
Lineage: Bacteria
Description: bacterial SSU rRNA
Rfam family: Bacterial small subunit ribosomal RNA
Source: RNAcentral
ACUCCUACGGGAGGCAGCAGUGGGAAUAUUGCACAAUGGGCGCAAGCCUGAUGCAGCGACGCCGCGUGGGGAUGACGGCCUUCGGGUUGUAAACCUCUUUCAAUAGGGACGAAGCGCAAGUGACGGUACCUAUAGAAGAAGCACCGGCCAACUACGUGCCAGCAGCCGCGGUAAUACGUAGGGUGCGAGCGUUGUCCGGAAUUACUGGGCGUAAAGAGCUCGUAGGUGGUUUGUCGCGUUGUCCGUGAAAUCUCACAGCUUAACUGUGAGCGUGCGGGCGAUACGGGCAGACUGGAGUACUGCAGGGGAGACUGGAAUUCCUGGUGUAGCGGUGGAAUGCGCAGAUAUCAGGAGGAACACCGGUGGCGAAGGCGGGUCUCUGGGCAGUAACUGACGCUGAGGAGCGAAAGCGUGGGGAGCGAACAGGAUUAGAUACCCUGGUAGGCUCUG